RNAcentral lists this ribosomal RNA (341 nucleotides) under Svalbardia bicuspidata. Its description in RNAcentral is "SSU rRNA". It matches the Rfam family "Eukaryotic small subunit ribosomal RNA", at positions 594 to 939 of the family's 1831-position model. Lineage: Eukaryota; Metazoa; Arthropoda; Arachnida; Sarcoptiformes; Ceratozetidae. The record is from RNAcentral.
AUAGCGUAUAUUAAAGUUGUUGUGGUUAAAAAGCUCGUAGUUGGAUCUCAGUUCGAGUCAAGCGGUCCACUUGUUAGUGGUUACUGUUUGACUGAACACUUUACCGAGUUGUCCUAUGGUGCUCUUCACCGAGUGUCAUAGGCGAUCGGUACGUUUACUUUGAAAAAAUUAGAGUGCUCAAAGCAGGCGUAACGCCCGAAUAAUGUUGCAUGGAAUAAUGGAAUAGGACCUCGGUUCUAUUUUGUUGGUCUUCGGAAUCUGAGGUAAUGAUUAAGAGGGACAGACGGGGGCAUUCGUAUUGCGACGCUAGAGGUGAAAUUCUUGGACCGUUGCAAGACGAA